CCUACGGGAGGCAGCAGUAGGGAAUCUUCCACAAUGGGCGAAAGCCUGAUGGAGCAACGCCGCGUGGGUGAAGAAGGUCUUCGGAUCGUAAAACCCUGUUGGUCGAGAAGAAAGUGCGUGAGAGUAACUGUUCACGUUUCGACGGUAACUAACCAGAAAGCCACGGCUAACUACGUGCCAGCAGCCGCGGUAAUACGUAGGUGGCAAGCGUUAUCCGGAUUUAUUGGGGGUAAAGGGAACGCAGGCGGUCUUGUAAGUCUGAUGUGAAAGCCUUCGGCUUAACCGGAGGAGUGCAUUGGAAACUGGGAGGCUGGAGUGCAGGAGAGGAGAGUGGAACGCCAUGUGUAGCGGUGAAAUGCGUAGAUAUCACGCAGAACACCGAUUGCGAAGGCAGCAUACCGGCGCCCGACUGACGCUGAGGCACGAAAGCGUGGGUAUCGAACAGGAUUAGAUACCCGGGUAGUC
RNAcentral lists this ribosomal RNA (465 nucleotides) under uncultured bacterium. RNAcentral describes it as "partial 16S ribosomal RNA". It matches the Rfam family "Bacterial small subunit ribosomal RNA", at positions 338 to 795 of the family's 1533-position model. The record is from RNAcentral.